RNAcentral lists this ribosomal RNA (459 nucleotides) under uncultured bacterium. RNAcentral describes it as "partial 16S ribosomal RNA". It matches the Rfam family "Bacterial small subunit ribosomal RNA", at positions 29 to 523 of the family's 1533-position model. The record is from RNAcentral.
AACGAACGCUGGCGGCAGGCCUAACACAUGCAAGUCGAACGAGAAGCCACCUUCGGGUGGUGGACAGUGGCAGACGGGUGAGUAACGCGUGGGAACGUGCCUUUCGGUUCGGGAUAACCCAGGGAAACUUGGGCUAAUACCGGAUACGCCCUUCGGGGGCAAGAUUCAUUGCCGAAAGAUCGGCCCGCGUCGGAUUAGCUAGUUGGUGGGGUAAGAGCCUACCAAGGCGACGAUCCGUAGCUGGUCUGAGUGGCGGACCAGCCACCCUGUGACUUAGACACGGCCCAGACUCCUACGGGAGGCAGCAGUGGGGAAUAUUGGACAAUGGGCGCAAGCCUGAUCCAGCCAUGCCGCGUGGGUGAAGAAGGCCUUAGGGUUGUAAACCCCUUGCAGCGGGGAAGAUAAUGACGGUACCCGCAGAAGAAGUCCCGGCUAACUCCGUGCCAGCAGCCGCAGUAA